RNAcentral lists this ribosomal RNA (483 nucleotides) under uncultured bacterium. RNAcentral describes it as "bacterial SSU rRNA". It matches the Rfam family "Bacterial small subunit ribosomal RNA", at positions 32 to 524 of the family's 1533-position model. The record is from RNAcentral.
AAUCAACGCUGGCGGCGUGCCUCAGACAUGCAAGUCGAACGAUUAAAGCUCUCUUCGGAGAGUGUAUAGAGUGGCGCACGGGUGAGUAACACGUAAGUAAUCUACCUUUGAGUGGGGAAUAACCCGGGGAAACCCGAGCUAAUACCGCAUAAUGCAGCGGCACCGCAAGGUGACAGUUGUUAAAGGAGCAAUCCGCUUAAAGAGGAGCUUGCGGCAGAUUAGCUAGUGGUAAGGUAAUGGCUUACCAAGGCUUCGAUCUGUAUCCGGCCUGAGAGGGCGGUCGGACACACUGACACUGAAUAACGGGUCAGACUCCUACGGGAGGCAGCAGUCGGGAAUUUUGGGCAAUGGGCGAAAGCCUGACCCAGCAACGCCGCGUGAAGGAUGAAGUAUUUCGGUAUGUAAACUUCGAAAGAAUGGGAAGAAUCAAUGACGGUACCAUUUAUAAGGUCCGGCUAACUACGUGCCAGCAGCCGCGGUAAG